AGUAACACGUGGGGAACCGUGCCCCAUAGUCUGGGAUACCACUUGGAAACAGGUGCUAAUACCGGAUAAGAAAGCGGAUCGCAUGAUCAGCUUUUAAAAAGGCGGCGUAAGCUGUCGCUAUGGGAUGGCCCCGCGGUGCAUUAGCUAGUUGGUAAGGUAAAGGCUUACCAAGGCGAUGAUGCAUAGCCGAGUUGAGAGACUGAUCGGCCACAUUGGGACUGAGACACGGCCCAAACUCCUACGGGAGGCAGCAGGG
RNAcentral lists this ribosomal RNA (256 nucleotides) under uncultured Lactobacillus sp. RNAcentral describes it as "partial 16S ribosomal RNA". It matches the Rfam family "Bacterial small subunit ribosomal RNA", at positions 109 to 354 of the family's 1533-position model. Lineage: Bacteria; Bacillati; Bacillota; Bacilli; Lactobacillales; Lactobacillaceae. The record is from RNAcentral.